CGCUCUCCAGAUUAUAAAUACCUGAAAAUCCAUCGAGCCCCAUAUCCAAGAUGACAUACUAGCUAAGGGCCAUGCAGUUGUCUAGGGAUUAGCAUAGCUAAGCCUUGGCUAGCAUGAUCACCUUGCAAGGAAGAUCCGCAUUGGAAUUCUUGAGCUAGAGUCAUUAAGAUCAAGGUAGGAUCCCAGUGGUGAUCUUGUGAUGUACAAUCAUUCGUGGUGAAGUAAUAGAUGUGUUCUUG
RNAcentral lists this long non-coding RNA (239 nucleotides) under Setaria italica (foxtail millet). RNAcentral describes it as "long non-coding RNA (SITA_LNC004452)". Lineage: Eukaryota; Viridiplantae; Streptophyta; Magnoliopsida; Poales; Poaceae. The record is from RNAcentral.